UACGGGGGGAGCAAGCGUUGUUCGGAUUUACUGGGCGUAAAGGGCGCGUAGGCGGUCGUGACAAGUCACUUGUGAAAUCUCCGGGCUUAACUCGGAACGGUCAAGUGAUACUGUCGGACUAGAGUACAGAAGGGGCAACUGGAAUUCUCGGUGUAGCGGUGAAAUGCGUAGAUAUCAGGAGGAACACCAAUGGCGAAGGCAGCACUCUGGGACGGUACUGACGCUGAGACGCGAAAGCGUGGGGAGCAAACAGG
This 254-nucleotide ribosomal RNA is filed under the name uncultured bacterium. Its description in RNAcentral is "partial 16S ribosomal RNA". It matches the Rfam family "Bacterial small subunit ribosomal RNA", at positions 524 to 776 of the family's 1533-position model. The record is from RNAcentral.